Molecule: small RNA, 1353 nt
Filed under: Acarospora sp. 1 MW-2015
Lineage: Eukaryota; Fungi; Ascomycota; Lecanoromycetes; Acarosporales; Acarosporaceae
Description: eukaryotic LSU rRNA
Rfam family: Eukaryotic large subunit ribosomal RNA (bases 757-1353)
Source: RNAcentral
CUUAUCGGCAAACGCCGUCAACCUUGGAAGCCUUGAACAUUCAGUCUGCUUCGAUGCAGGCGACACCGGUCCGUUGCUGAGACCUUUCACGUUGAAGAUCAGCAGCCGCAUUACCGACUGGUUUUUGCGGUUCACAGAUCAAACACUGGUGGCCUACUGGAUUUACAUCACGGACGCUGCGUCACGCACGUCUCCCGUAGGUUAAAAUAUGACCGGCAUCACCUAAAAAUAGGUGAGACUUUGCGUUCCGUAGGUGAACCUGCGGAAGGAUCAUUACCGAGUUCAGGGCGUCAUGCCCGACCUCCAACCCCAUGUGGAUCCGCCUUUGUUGCUUUGGCGGGCCGGUGGAAGCACCUUCUCCGGUGGCUUUGUGGCCGCUGAGAGCCCGUCAGAGACCCAUCCGAACCCGUGAACUGUGCAGUCCGAGUACCAAACAAACAAUCAAAACUUUCAACAACGGAUCUCUUGGUUCUGGCAUCGAUGAAGAACGCAGCGAAAUGCGAUAAGUAAUGUGAAUUGCAGAAUUCAGUGAAUCAUCGAAUCUUUGAACGCACAUUGCGCCCCUCGGUAUUCCGGGGGGCAUGCCUGUUCGAGCGUCAUUACACCACUCAAGCAUCGCUUGGUCAUGGGCGUUCGUCCCCCGUGGACGUGCCUGGAAAUCAGCGGCGGCGCGGCCUGGCUUCAAGCAGCAUUGGUACAUCUUUCGCUUUGGAAGCCCCAGGCUCGGGUCGGCCGGACAAAUCUUUCACCAAAGGUUGACCUCGGAUCAGGUAGGGAUACCCGCUGAACUUAAGCAUAUCAAUAAGCGGAGGAAAAGAAACCAACUGGGAUUGCCUCAGUAACGGCGAGUGAAGCGGCAGCAGCUCAAAUUUGAAAUCUGGCCCCGUCGGGGUCCGAGUUGUAAUUUGCAGAGGAUGCUUCGGGUGUGGAUCCGGUCUGAGUUCCUUGGAACAGGACGUCGUAGAGGGUGAGAGCCCCGUAUGUGAGGCCUCCACAGCCCGUGUGAAGCUCCUUCGACGAGUCGAGUUGUUUGGGAAUGCAGCUCCAAAUGGGUGGUAAAUUUCAUCUAAAGCUAAAUAUUGGCCAGAGACCGAUAGCGCACAAGUAGAGUGAUCGAAAGAUGAAAAGCACUUUGGAAAGAGAGUCAAACAGUACGUGAAAUUGUUGAAAGGGAAGCGCUUGCAACCAGACUUGCCCGCGGGCGAUCAGCCGGCGUUUGUCGCCGGUGCACUCGCCCGCGGUCAGGCCAGCAUCGGUUUGGGUGGCUGGACAAAGUCCCCCGGAAUGUGGCUCCCCCCGGGGAGUGUUAUAGCUGGAGGUGCCAUGCAGCCCGCCCGGACCGAGGACCGCGCU